Molecule: ribosomal RNA, 229 nt
Filed under: uncultured bacterium
Lineage: Bacteria
Description: partial 16S ribosomal RNA
Rfam family: Bacterial small subunit ribosomal RNA
Source: RNAcentral
UGCGUAGGCGGAAUAUUAAGUCAGUAGUGAAAUCCUGCAGCUUAACUGUAGAACUGUUAUUGAUACUGGUUUUCUUGAAUAUAGUUGAGGUAGGCGGAAUGUGUAAUGUAGCGGUGAAAUGCUUAGAUAUUACACAGAACACCGAUUGCGAAGGCAGCUUACUAAGCUAUGAUUGACGCUGAGGUACGAAAGCGUGGGGAGCGAACAGGAUUAGAUACCCUGGUAGUCC